Cydia pomonella (codling moth) is the source of this 1834-nucleotide long non-coding RNA. RefSeq lists it as uncharacterized. The transcript has 2 exons. NCBI's taxonomy places the organism in Eukaryota, Metazoa, Arthropoda, Insecta, Lepidoptera, Tortricidae. The record is from RefSeq and is a predicted model, not a curated record.
UAAAAUAUUUUCUAUAGAAAUGCUUACAAACAUGACAGGCAUUUUGCUACAAUUGUCUGUAUUACAAUUAUGUUGUGAACCAAGAAUUACUUUUUCUACUCGACAUAUUUGUAGAAUUAUCGGUGAAUCUUGACAUGUGGUUGAAGCUGUGUCGAGUUGCGUGACAAUUGUAGUAUGUCGUGGUUGACAUACGCGUAGUUCAAAAUGGCUCUCCAUGCGAGUAGUAGUGACGCUAGUGAUAGUAACAGUGACCUUGAUGAUUUCGCAUAUAGAAGAAGAUUUAAAGAAAGAAUCAAUUUUUCUUUUAUCUCACGGAUUUUUCAUUUAAGGAAAAAUCUCGUGUUAGUUAAAUCAGUGUAUAAUAUUUAUUAAAUAGAAUCGGUGCACGUAUUGAACAUCCAGCGACAAAAAACAAAGCUUUAACGCCUUGCCAACAAAUUCUUUGUACAGUGCUGCAUUGGAUGGGGUCGGGUUCUCAAUAUCACGAAAAAUAAUAUUUCGUCGACCAUACCAUAGUCGACAUAGUUAAGAGGAAAGGGGACAACCGCUUCUCCAUACAAACGUAGUACUAAUUCUCUCUCUGUAUAUUAACAUUUUGGACAUGAACAUAUUUUUACACAAUUUUAUAUAUAUUAAAUUUAUAAGUUUAUAACCCGUGAUAUUAACGAGAAGGAAUAUAUAUAUUUUUUAAUUUGUUUAUAUUUUUUUCUCAUAACUCUAUAAUACAAAAAUCCAAAGUCAAACGAAAGGGCAAAGCUAUGGUUAAUAUAAAGCCUGACCAGUAAAAUAUGAUCACGCGCCAUAUUGCGGAAUUUCAUUGGAACUAAAUUUUUCAUACUAAACUGAACUGUCAUCCUACAUGAGAAUAAUAGCGCCCUCUUGACAAUGAUCAUAUAUUUCUGGUCGAGAUAAAUUGAAGGGAAUUACACGAAAUCGAGCACUCGAAAUUCAAAAAUCGGCCCCCAGAUCGAAAAACUGUUACUAUGUCAUUGAAGCCAGUAGAUUUGCAGUAGAAACAUUAAAUAACUGUAAUAGUUCUGAAGUAUUCAUUUUUUUAAAGCAAUUCGUGCAAAAUUAAUCCCUAACCAUUCCAAAAUAUUAAAAAUGCACAACGUUAACCUCCUGGGGUCCGAAGUACUAAUACUAGGAGUCUAGGACAAAAUCGGUUUGCAGUGAAAGCCCAAGUAUCAAAAUAGAUACUUGAUGCCAAGACCCAGCGUGAUAGUACUAGGACAAAAUAUUUACACGCUCCAGGUGGAUUUGAAUUACCCGCCAUGUCAUUUUGACGUUACUGGUUAGUUAGUGUAUAUAUUUGGCAUUGUGGCAGCACUGCUUGAAGUAAGCGGGGAGGGAUAUUUUCGGUCUUCUGUCACAAGACGUCGCAGCAAUGACACGUGCAACGAGAAGAACUAUAAAAGAUAGUCAAGUGUUGGACUUGCUCCAGCAGUCUGAUUUCGAAGACGACGAAGAUGAUCCUUUUGGAGGGAAUGAUACAGACGACGAGUAUAUUUCUGUGGAGAACACGGCCAUCGAAAGCGACAGUGACAGCAGUACCAGCUCAGAACCUGUGAGUGCAAGCCCUCCACCAGCCCCGCAACUUAUUCGAGGACGAGGUCGAGGUCGAUCGCGUACACAGACCCGAAAUUUUUCAAAAGGAAAAUUUUGUUGAUUUGAAUGUUAAAAUUUGUUUUUUCUGUAGAACAUUUUAGUUCCUGCUGUGAAGCAUGCUAUUUUUUGUAUCUUAGAUGAUAUUAAUGAUGAUUACGUUGAUUUCUGCUAGUAUAAAGUGUUAACUUUUGUUUUCUAUAAGAUUUUCAAGACUGAUUGAUUUUCA